GUUCUCCGUUACGAAGCAGAAAUACCAUUCAAAGGCAUUUAUUCCUCACAUUCGGUAAUCAAUUCCUAUGGUUUUCUAAACGCCCGAUCAAAUGUUGGAGUAUAUAAACAUCUCCAUGUGUAAUCUUCCAUUUCCACUGGCAAGAACAACAAUCAUCUCAUGAAAAGAGUUAUUGGUGUUGCUGUCGUUCUCCUUUCUCUUGAGGCAAGAAUUCACGGGCUUACUGUUUCAUGGAAAGAUGGCGAGAAUGUGAACAAUCUAUGUAAAUUUCUCAUAAUUUAUUUUAUUUCAUUAUAAAUUUCAAAUUCAUUGGCUCACGGUACAAUUGGAACUUGAUCUUCAGAAGUGUAUAAAUGGGAAAAUACACCACAACAAGGACGGGAUGAUAAAAAAGGUCGGAAGCCCAUGACGUAGCAGCAAAUUAAUUUAUAAGAGAAGGCUAAACGGAGACGAGCAAAAAGGGAAAAACAGGAAGAGGAGGAUAGGUGGUCAGAGAACAGUCUCGACAUUGUACAUUGAGGAUAUUGGCUUUAAAUAGGCGGAGCAAAGAAGGCAAAAAAACAAGGCUUUUUAGACUACAAAUUUGAGAAAGUAACACACAAGAAGUAUUAAAGAAAAAGAUAGAAUUUUGAUUGCUCACUUUGCAGGUAAGACUGACUAGGAAGAUGAAGAAGAUCAGGUCAAAGAGAGAGAGACACAUCUGGCUUAUCUGGAUCCUUAUUGGCCUGAACUUGACAGGGAGGUUGAAAAAAAGUUAGAUAUUAAGGCCAAAAUGGAUGGAUAUUAGGAAUCGGUAUGCUAGAAUACUGAUGUUUGGGUAUAGAUUGCACACACAUAUAUAUCUUUUUGUAUACUAAAUAUUACUACGAUUUGGGCUAAUGCGCACCAGUAACGACAUCAAUUCAAAUUGGUAGAAAUUACUAAAUAACACCUCGAUUGUGCAGGUUAUCAUGGUAUCCCAACACCAUACUUCCCAUCAGAUUCAAAGCAUUCGUGGUAACAAGUCUGGAAUGCUUAAAUAGUUUUUAUCAAAUUUCUGGUAACAUCUUGAUACUUAGUGAAAAUGUCUACUCAUUAGGUCUAUUGCUUUGAAAUACCUUUUAAAUGUCUAAUCUGAAGUUUGUAAAUGUCAUGUCUAUUAAUUUUUAUUAAUCAGUCAAGAAGUUUGGGAAUUGAGAUCCUAUCUUUCUGGAAUGGACGUUCAAAUGGUAGCUGGUUUGUUUAUAACUGACUCUGACGAAAGUAUUCAUGGUAAUAUGAACAUCUGUGUUUGGUUAUAAAGUAUACUGCUCCUUUCUCUAUCAGUGAAGGACAUUCAGCGCGAAUAUAGAUGGGUUCUUUUCAGUUUAAUGUAGUCUUUCGUCAUGAGAUUUUUAUUUUGUAGAAUCUAAUUUGAAAUGGUUGUUAGUUGUGUAGAUAGAUGUAUUGUGCAAUGCUGAGAUCCUAGGCACAAUGUAACUUCUGAUAGAUUAUCUUUUAGGUUGUGGGUUCUGUCAUACGUUUUUUGCUAAAACCAAGUUUGUUUGGAUUCUUUCUUAGCAUUUGUAAGUUCAUCAAUGUCCUCGAUUGUCGAAACACUGCCGUAUCAUUACUUGGGAAACAACCUGAGAAAAGCUGAGGAACUACACCGAGCAAAAUCAUGGUCUCCUACAUGCAUUUGUCAGAGUGGCUUUCAUAGAGUCACAGUAAGCCUCAAGCUCGAUUCUUAUCCGGGGUGGUCUUUGAAGACUCUGCUAGGUAAGAAGAUCGUUUGUGAUGACUCUGGGUUCUUUUUUCUUUUUCAAGUUUCCUACUGAUUCAUUAGAUGUCACAGACAGUGUGUUUUUCCCUUUUUUUGCCUCUAUAAAUUGUUUGUUAGGUAUGAAUGUAAAAUUGGCAAGCAAAAGAUGUUCAUGGAAAUUUGCAGGUGAUAAGUGAAUGAUUUGGGUUGGAAUGUCAUGUCUACUGAGUUAGUUGUAGUGCUGGUGGAAGUGGUGCAGUUUGUAAUGUGUGAUCAUUAGUGACUAUAACUUUAUAGUGUGUAAUUAUUAUAUAUGUUCUUAGCCCAUUUUUAGUGUUCUUGAUGUUCAAUUUUGAUAGAGGUACUCUUUACUUUGCAUGGUCAUUCUAUAUGUACCUUCUAUA
This is an RNA transcript of Papaver somniferum (opium poppy), 2124 nucleotides long. RefSeq lists it as uncharacterized. NCBI's taxonomy places the organism in Eukaryota, Viridiplantae, Streptophyta, Magnoliopsida, Ranunculales, Papaveraceae. The transcript has 6 exons. The record is from RefSeq and is a predicted model, not a curated record.